CGGGCUCAGAGCCCCACUGUGUGAGGCGGCUGCCCUGACUGAGGAUCACGGAGCCGGCCAGGCUGGCCCCACCCACCCUCAGCCACAGGGACGGUGGCUGCUGCCCCCACCCUCUGUGGUUCCUGCCCCGGCCUCCCCUUGGGAGAGGGUGGUCUGCCUGCCUGAGGGUGGGGGUUUUCCAGAGCAGGAGUUCCGUGCCAGAGGCCACCUCCCUAGGGUGUCUCGGGCAGCCUGAGGCUGAGCGGUGGCUGGUCUGGGGGUCCAGGAGCCACUGUCCCCUCCAGGCCUCCACGUGGCCAGGGUGUGGCAGGAAGUGCGUUGCAAAUGCUCAAGCCAUCCCAGGCACUGUCCUGCUCCAGGGAGAACUGAGCUGCCCCAGAGCUGGGCAGGAGAGAUGGGGCCUCUUUCCCGGGGAAGCUCAGUGCAUCGGGGAGGCCCUGUCCGUGGGACAGCGAAGGCAUAGAGAAGCCAAGCUGAGCAGUGGGACAGGCGGGAGAGCCAAGUGCCUGGAUCCAGCCAUGCCUGAAGCCAUCCCUCAAAUUCAUGACUGAUUUUUAAAAUGUAUUUUAUUUUAUUUUUUUGAGAUGGGGUCUCGCUCUGUCGCCCAGGCUACAGUGCAGUGGUAUGAUCAUAGCUCACUGCAGCCUCAGACUUGCAGGCUCAAGCCAUCUUCCUGCCUCAGCCUGCCAAG
This 691-nucleotide long non-coding RNA is filed under the name Homo sapiens (human). RNAcentral's name for it is "HSALNT0226343". Lineage: Eukaryota; Metazoa; Chordata; Mammalia; Primates; Hominidae. The record is from RNAcentral.